AGCGAACGCUGGCGGCAGGCCUAACACAUGCAAGUCGAACGAACUCUUCGGAGUUAGUGGCGGACGGGUGAGUAACACGUGGGAACGUGCCCUUUGGUACGGAAUAACUCAGGGAAACUUGAGCUAAUACCGUAUGUGCCCUUCGGGGGAAAGAUUUAUCGCCAUUGGAGGGGCCCGCGUCUGAUUAGCUAGUUGGUGAGGUAAAGGCUCACCAAGGCGACGAUCAGUAGCUGGUCUGAGAGGAUGAUCAGCCACAUUGGGACUGAGACACGGCCCAAACCCCUACGGGAGGCAGCAGUGGGGAAUCUUGCGCAAUGGGCGGAAGCCUGACGCAGCCAUGCCGCGUGAAUGAUGAAGGUCUUAGGAUUGUAAAAUUCUUUCACCGGGGACGAUAAUGACGGUACCCGGAGAAGAAGCCCCGGCUAACUUCGUGCCAGCAGCCGCAGUAA
Molecule: ribosomal RNA, 449 nt
Filed under: uncultured bacterium
Lineage: Bacteria
Description: partial 16S ribosomal RNA
Rfam family: Bacterial small subunit ribosomal RNA
Source: RNAcentral